RNAcentral lists this unclassified non-coding RNA (200 nucleotides) under Xylaria sp. RNAcentral describes it as "partial internal transcribed spacer 2". The record is from RNAcentral. Lineage: Eukaryota; Fungi; Ascomycota; Sordariomycetes; Xylariales; Xylariaceae.
UUAAGUUCAGCGGGUAUUCCUACCUGAUCCGAGGUCAACCUUGAGAAAACUGGGGUGUUUUACGGCAGGGGACCGGCACAACCGUAGGCGAGACAAUACAAGAUAUUUACUACGUCUAGAGUGUGUAACCGACUCCGCCACUAACUUCGAGGAGCUACAUCGCUGUAGGCUCCCAACACUAAGCAGCAGGGGCUUAAGGG